This 484-nucleotide ribosomal RNA is filed under the name uncultured bacterium. RNAcentral's name for it is "partial 16S ribosomal RNA". It matches the Rfam family "Bacterial small subunit ribosomal RNA", at positions 30 to 507 of the family's 1533-position model. The record is from RNAcentral.
AUUGAACGCUAGCGGGAUGCUUUACACAUGCGAGUCGAACGGCAGCGCGGACUUCGGUCUGGCGGCGAGUGGCGAACGGGUGAGUAAUGUAUCGGAACGUGCCCAGUAGCGGGGGAUAACUACGCGAAAGCGUAGCUAAUACCGCAUACGCCCUACGGGGGAAAGCAGGGGAUCGUAAGACCUUGCACUAUUUGAGCGGCCGAUAUCGGAUUAGCUAGUUGGUGAGGUAACGGCUCACCAAGGCGACGAUCCGUAGCUGGUUUGAGAGGACGACCAGCCACACUGGGACUGAGACACGGCCCAGACUCCUACGGGAGGCAGCAGUGGGGAAUUUUGGACAAUGGGGGCAACCCUGAUCCAGCCAUCCCGCGUGUGCGAUGAAGGCCUUCGGGUUGUAAAGCACUUUUGGCAGGAAAGAAACGUCGCGGGCUAAUACCCCGUGGAACUGACGGUACCUGCAGAAUAAGCACCGGCUAACUACGUG